RNAcentral lists this ribosomal RNA (371 nucleotides) under uncultured bacterium. RNAcentral's name for it is "bacterial SSU rRNA". It matches the Rfam family "Bacterial small subunit ribosomal RNA", at positions 1008 to 1382 of the family's 1533-position model. The record is from RNAcentral.
CACGGUCUCCCGCAGGGACGCCAGUACAGGUGGUGCAUGGCUGUCGUCAGCUCGUGUCGUGAGAUGUUGAGUUAAGUCCCGCAACGAGCGCAACCCUUACCCUUAGUUGUUUUCCCGAAAGGAUUACCCUCUAAGGGGACUGCCCCGGACAACGGGGAGGAAGUGGGGAUGACGUCAAGUCCGCAUGCUCCUUACGUCUAGGGCUACACACGUCCUACAAUGGGGUCGACAGUGGGAUGCAAAGCCGCGAGGUGGAGCCAAUCCCCAAACGGCCUCUCAGUUCGGAUAGUAGUCUGCAACUCGACUACUUGAAGUCGGAAUCGCUAGUAAUCGUGGAUCAGAAUGUCACGGUGAAUACGUUCCCGGGUCUU